GGAGGGAUGCGAGAGCGGACGAAUCGAACGGUCUUGAAAACCGUCGUGUCGCAAGGCACCGUGGGUUCGAAUCCCACUCCCUCCG
RNAcentral lists this transfer RNA (85 nucleotides) under Actinomycetota bacterium. RNAcentral's name for it is "tRNA-Ser". It matches the Rfam family "tRNA". From Rfam's summary of the family: Transfer RNA (tRNA) molecules are approximately 80 nucleotides in length. Their secondary structure includes four short double-helical elements and three loops (D, anti-codon, and T loops). Further hydrogen bonds mediate the characteristic L-shaped molecular structure. tRNAs have two regions of fundamental functional importance: the anti-codon, which is responsible for specific mRNA codon recognition, and the 3' end, to which the tRNAs corresponding amino acid is attached (by aminoacyl-tRNA synthetases). tRNAs cope with the degeneracy of the genetic code in two manners: having more than one tRNA (with a specific anti-codon) for a particular amino acid; and 'wobble' base-pairing, i.e. permitting non-standard base-pairing at the 3rd anti-codon position. Lineage: Bacteria; Bacillati; Actinomycetota. The record is from RNAcentral.